UCCCCUCUGAAAUAGCACCGCAGUACUUU
This 29-nucleotide non-coding RNA is filed under the name Bombyx mori (domestic silkworm). The record is from RNAcentral. Lineage: Eukaryota; Metazoa; Arthropoda; Insecta; Lepidoptera; Bombycidae.